CCUGUUGCGAUAAUGGAGAAAGUGGAAUACUCCGUUCCUCUUACUGAUACUGUAACAUCACCAUCUCCUUCACUCAAUUCAUUGGAUUCUUUUAGUUCUUAUCUUGUGAGCAAACCGAAAUCCAGUUCAACAUCCCCAUUGCUAUCACCUUCAACCUCCGAUUAUUCAAGUUCAUUUACCUUUUCACCCUCAUCGUCUAACUGGUCAGACUUGCCAUAUUUAUCGGCUCAGCCUUCACCUUCUGGUCUUGAGUCUAAAGAUCCUGUUAAGAGCGGUACCUCAGAGGAAAGUGCGCUUUUACCUCUUCAUGUUUCUUCCCCUCCGCCAGAAGCAGCAUUUUCCGGUAGUCGUGCUUUCAGAACGGCAAAUUUGUCAUUUAGAAGGUCACCCUCCCUUGCAGAGCGCAGAGGAAGCAGUCCUCCUCCUUGGAUGAUGUUACCUCAAGUGGACGAGGCAUCUAAUGCUUCAACCAAUUCGACAAAUUUGUCUUCUCAUGCAGAAGAUGAAAUUAUACAGGAUGUUGAAUACAACUUAGAACAUGAUGGAUCUUCGGAGACAAAUAGAGAAGAGCCAAUGUAUGAUGCUUGCAGCUAUACUGCUGACAAUAAUCCAUUUGAGUUUUGACGACUACAGUGCUGAUGUUUUAUACGUCCGUUUAGGGCACGAUGUGCAGUGGAAGCGAACAAUCCAUCAGUUGAUUGGUAAUGAUAGCACAUGUGAAGACAGUCGUACCUAUUCUGAGACGGUUGGUCAUGUUUUUCUCAUGGAGAAGAGCUUAAGUGCUAUCACUUUCAUUCAGGUACUUGUUGCACCCCUAUAGAUAAAAGGCACCGACUCGUAAAUGCUUUCUUGUCAUGUCAAUGCCUAUAUACUUGUACUCAGAUCUAAUCUCCUCUGUUGACAGGAGCUAUAACGUGUCACUCAUACCCAGUGAACAUUUUAACUCCUGUCCACAAUGAGCAGGAGAUCAACCCUAUACUUCAAUUAUUACUUACUCCAUGCUAUUCCUUUUUCUCGUGCAUUCUUGAACUAUGUCAAUGUGUGUCGUGUUAUAAGAUAGAAGAAACUCUUCCUAAAGCUUUUAUAAUAUUAUGUUGGCCUUUGUUCAAACAAAGAAGUUCUCGUGCCCCCCAAUCUUAGCUUCGAGUCUCUUAAUAAUUUGUAUAGAUGUAUAGACGUCGUGCUGCCAUGUACGUGUUCACCCAGUUGUAUGCUUCUGUCUAUAUAUAUAUAUAUAUAUGAUGGUUUUGAUAUAAAUUCUUCCAAAUGUGGAAUUGCAGAUAGUUAAUGAAGAAUCAUUGCAGUUCCUCGAGCAUUUUGCCUUUGGAAGGAAUUGCAGACAUAGUUAAAGAAAGCGAGGAACCGGUUCAGUUCCUCCCCCACCUUUUUCUCGUUUAAUAUAGACUUGACAAUACUGUGUAGUAGACAUGCUGGUACUAGACAUGCGCUAAGGACAUUAUAGGGAAUAAGUUAUAGGAAUUAUGAGAACAAAAGAUUCUGCUUAUUCUUGGUUCAUUAAAUGUUAUGUACAUUCAGAUUCAGCACCUAAGUUGUAGUUUUUUAAAGUACAAUUAUAGAGCACUAUUUUACUAGCAUUUUGUCUUAUCAAUUUUACAAGUUAUUUAUUUAAUAAUUCGAUUUGAUUAUCAUAUCAUUCUAGCCUAUCUUAGUAAUCGCAUUCAUGAAUUUGUAUAAAGAAAAAGGAAAUAACAACGGCUACUAACAAUAAGCACAAUUAACAUGUUUAGCCCAUAACAUUAUCGGGAAAGGAAAAUUCUUUGAUAGAUUGAAAUUACAUGACAGAAGAUCUACAAGAAAAUAAAGAAAAUCGAACCUGGAAGUUGAACAUGUGAAAAAGCUUAAACUUGUCGCUUUUUCUCAAAUCUGUUUUUUCGAUCUUAAAAUAGCCAUUGUUGGGCCAAGUACACUGCCUCUCAGAGCUUUAUAUGACCACGAUUUCUUCCCUGAUCCCUGAGAUAGUUGCAGCCAUCUAUUUUUUACAAAAAUAUUAUUCCACCCAUUUCAUUUCCACAAAAUGAGAGUCAAAGAGGGGCUAAAAGUCACAAAUGUGACACACAUGAUGUCUUAAAUUUUUAUUUUUAUUCUUUUUUUUUUUUUGAUCAAUUUUACCAUUAUUAUCUUUAAAAACAAGUUGCGUUUGUUUUGUAAAACCGUAUACACAAAAGUGAAUUUCACUUGUUAGUUUCAUUGCGCGAAGAUUUAUCUUAUCUAGUACUUGUUUGGAGUAACUAAAAAAUUGAAAUUAAAGUCAACAAUUAAUUUUAGUCACUCACUUUUGGAAUUCACAAUUUAUUAACUACAAAAAUAAUCAAUUUUUGUCAAAAUCUAUUAAAAUUUUUAUAAAAGAAUUUGUCGAACAGUCUAUUAGUAAGUUGUAUGAAAAUUUCAAACUAAUUUUGCAUAAACUCAAAAUAAAAUAUAAACAACCAUAUUCCUAAUAUUAUAAUUAAUUCAUAAAUCAAAGUCUCAUUGCAUGCCACUUUAUUCAAACAAGAAACACUCACCAAGCAAAAAUUAAACUAAAUUAAAAUGAAUAAUCAAUUCUUAAAUAAUUAGAAUUCAUACCGUGGAGACGUGUUAAGUUUGACCAGUUCUGUUCCUGGUCAACAAAAAUGGCCAACUUGUCGUUUUCAUUUUCUGUUGGCUUACGUGAGUCUCUACCUCUACAUGUAUAAAUUCAAUAAUAGUCACUUGAGUUCAAGAAAAAUUCCAAAUUGGUUAUUAAAUUAAUCUUGUGACUCAUUUAGUCACAAAAGUUAAAUAAUAUUACAUAUUCAAUCAAUCCGUUAACCUGAUUAAAGUCAUAUCCGACGUAGGAGUCGUUCAAGUGAACUAAUGGCCUUUAAAGCAAGCACUUUCUUUUUAUCUAGCCUUUUAUUUUAGGUUUGUGGUGAUAUUUUACGUUUUAUUUAUGGUUAAAAUCGAGUUAGAGAUAAAAGAGAGAUAUUUGAACUUUUUAACAAAAGGUCUUUUAUUUUAAGAAUUGCAUUUUAUUUUGAAGAUAAGUAAUAUCACGAUGUGGAUACAAUGAUUGCUAGACAAAUUCGAUGUUUAACAGGUUGAUAUCGAAUCCAGCAUACAUGUCUUUAAAGGAGUAAUAAAAUAUCUUUCCUUUAAGAAUUGCAUUUUACUCUUAAGAUAAGUAAUAUCACGAUAUGGAUAAAAUGAUUGCUAGACGAAUUCGAGGUUUAACGGGUCUUUAUCGAAGCUAGUAUACACGCCGUUGAAGGAAUAGUUGAUUGUGUGUAACUUUAACAUAUGUCACAAAAAUACUUUGAUAACCAAUUUCAAAUUUCUCUUGCACUUUAAUGACCACUUAUGAAAUUAACUCUCUCUAUACUUUCCUCUCUAUUGACACACACGCUCUCUCUCAUUGGAGGGACCCUUUGAAUUGGCUGUCUUUCGGAAAUGAUCAUACGUAGUUUCGAUGCAGUAGAAUCUGUAUUCGUUGUAAUAAUCAAAAUCAAGCUGCGAAAACAGAAAUUCUAUUAUAUUAUUUCCUUUUAAGUAUCUCUCUUAAAAUUUUCUAUGUUCUCUGGUUGUUUGUGUUGAAACUUUGUGCCCAGAAACAGAAUACUUUGUUAGGAGUUUUACUUGGUCAUAUUUGGAUUUUUGAUUUCUCCUCUUCUUUAAGAAUCUUUAUGGUCAAGGGUUUUCGGUGGGAAAAAAAGCAGAAUAUUUUGAAUGGUGGUUAUUAUAUAUGUUUGAAGACUAGUCAUGAAAUUGAUUGUUUCUGAGGGUAUUCCUUGAAGAAUCCUCAAGUGGGUAUCUCUGAAAUUUGUAAAAAUUGAUAUUUAUGUGCCUGGAUUUAAUUUUUAGUUUUUAUGCUUAUAUGGGUGGGUUUCUUGGAAAUAUCGGUUUUGAUGUUUAGAAUAGUCCUCAAAUGCGUAUGAUUGAUUUUAAACAGAGGAAGUUUUAACUGUUGUGAUGUUAGGGGAAGAGAAUAAAGAUGGACCUGGCGGAGGAAGUUGGAAAACGUACUUACGGUCGGUUUCGUGGAGUGACCGAUCACCUGGAAAGACAAAUCCUAGGCCACGAUGGAACAGCAAGGCUCGGGCUUGUUUGCCUCCCCUUCAGCCUCUUUCGGUUACUAGGCCUAGCGGGGAGGAAUGGCCGAGGGCUGGCUCGGAUGAUAUUGGCAUAUGGGCGAAUCCCCCUACUACUCCUGGUGCACGGCUUGGAUCAACGACUCACCGCGGAAAUUCAAAUUCAGAAAACCCUCCUAGAGAAUUUGAAUUCAAGAAAGAUAAGCUCGCGUUCUUUGAUAAGGAAUGCUCGAGAAUUUUGGAUCAUGUAUAUUUAGGAAGUGACGCUGUUGCAAAGAAUCGUGAAAUUUUACGGAAGAAUGGAAUAACCCAUGUGUUGAACUGUGUCGGGUUUGUUUGCCCGGAAUAUUUCAAGAAUGAGCUCGUGUACAAGACACUUUGGCUGCAGGACAGCCCGUCUGAGGAUAUCACGAGCAUUUUCUAUGAUGUUUUUGAUUAUUUUGAAGAUGUUAGAGAACAAGGUGGGCGAGUCCUUGUUCACUGUUGCCAAGGGGUAUCUCGAUCAACCUCGUUGGUUAUUGCUUAUCUUAUGUGGAAAGAGGGACAAAGCUUCGAGGACGCGUUCCAGCUUGUUAAAGCAGCAAGAGGAGUGACUAACCCGAAUUUGGGAUUUGCCUGUCAACUUCUGCAGUGCCAGAAGCGGGUACACGCCCUGCCGGCAAGCCCAUCUUCUGUGCUUCGUAUGUAUCGAAUGGCACCUCACUCUCCGUAUGAUCCACUUCAUCUGGUUCCCAAACUGUUGAGCGAGCCGGGCUCAGAAAAACUCGAUUCUCGUGGAGCUUUCAUUGUUCACGUACCUUCAGCGAUAUUCGUCUGGAUGGGGAAGCAUUGCUUCAAAGUAAUAUCAGACAAAGCCAGAUCAGCUGCCUCUCAAGUCAUCCAUUACGAAAGAGCCAAAGGUCCGGUUAUAACCGUCAAUGAAGGUGAAGAAACAUCUGAAUUCUGGGUUGCUCUUGGCUUGCAGAAUCGUUUAGCAGAUGUUUGUGGUAUAGAGAUAACAGAGGAGGACAGGAUUGGCCAUUCGAUCCGUCCGGGGCAAAGGAAAGUUGAUGAGUAUGAUCAAGAUUUCAGAAUUUUUUUCAAAGCACUAUCCGGUGGGAUCAUUCCACCUUUUCCAUUAUCAGGAAGUGGUUCCGAGACAAGUAUACCUGCUAGAGAAAAUGGUUGGAGCAGAUUGAGAAGAAAGUUGACCAGUGGAAUUAUGGAAGAAUAUAUCACGUCUUCGAAAUUGAACUGUAAUUUGACUCAAGCAAGUGAUAAACGGGAUGUGAUAGAUACACGUAAAGUUCCAUUGCCUUCGAGUCCUCAGUGCGAUUCACCUGAUUCGCUUGCUACAUACGAAACUGGCAGCCCUGUUGCGAUAAUGGAGAAAGUGGAAUACUCCGUUCCUCUUACUGAUACUGUAACAUCACCAUCUCCUUCACUCAAUUCAUUGGAUUCUUUUAGUUCUUAUCUUGUGAGCAAACCGAAAUCCAGUUCAACAUCCCCAUUGCUAUCACCUUCAACCUCCGAUUAUUCAAGUUCAUUUACCUUUUCACCCUCAUCGUCUAACUGGUCAGACUUGCCAUAUUUAUCGGCUCAGCCUUCACCUUCUGGUCUUGAGUCUAAAGAUCCUGUUAAGAGCGGUACCUCAGAGGAAAGUGCGCUUUUACCUCUUCAUGUUUCUUCCCCUCCGCCAGAAGCAGCAUUUUCCGGUAGUCGUGCUUUCAGAACGGCAAAUUUGUCAUUUAGAAGGUCACCCUCCCUUGCAGA
RNAcentral lists this long non-coding RNA (5819 nucleotides) under Olea europaea (common olive). Its description in RNAcentral is "long non-coding RNA (OEUR_LNC000174)". The record is from RNAcentral. Lineage: Eukaryota; Viridiplantae; Streptophyta; Magnoliopsida; Lamiales; Oleaceae.